This 496-nucleotide ribosomal RNA is filed under the name uncultured bacterium. Its description in RNAcentral is "partial 16S ribosomal RNA". It matches the Rfam family "Bacterial small subunit ribosomal RNA", at positions 29 to 507 of the family's 1533-position model. The record is from RNAcentral.
AUGCACGCUGGCGGCGUGCCUAAUACAUGCCAGUCGAGCGAACGGACGAGAAGCUUGCUUCUCUGAUGUUAGCGGCGGACGGGUGAGUAACACGUGGAUAACCUACCUAUAAGACUGGGAUAACUUCGGGAAACCGGAGCUAAUACCGGAUAAUAUUUUGAACCGCAUGGUUCAAAAGUGAAAGACGGUCUUGCUGCCACUUAUAGAUGGAUCCGCGCUGCAUUAGCUAGUUGGUAAGGUAACGGCUUACCAAGGCAACGAUGCAUAGCCGACCUGGGAGGGUGAUCGGCCACACUGGAACUGAGACACGGUCCAGACUCCUACGGGAGGCAGCAGUAGGGAAUCUUCCGCAAUGGGCGAAAGCCUGACGGAGCAACGCCGCGUGAGUGAUGAAGGUCUUCGGAUCGUAAAACUCUGUUAUUAGGGAAGAACAUAUGUGUAAGUAACUGUGCACAUCUUGACGGUACCUAAUCAGAAAGCCACGGCUAACUACGUG